CUUUCACUUGUACAAAGAAGCUUUGUUGCCAAGAUUUACUCUGAAAAUGACCUACACUACUGACUGCAGCUGUCUGCAAAUGUAGAAGCCGAUAAAUGGUAUCUCCUUCCCUCCCUUGACUUUCCUGUUUCCUGUGGAAUAUAUACUUAUAAGUAUUUUUAAAAUUAGACCUCUGUUGAAGACAUUUGGAUUAUAACUGUGAGCAUAUCUAUGCAAAGAGACGAGCCAGCCUGAGCAAUUUUGAGUUUUGUUCAGUGGAGGGACUGCUGUAUGUCAGCCAUGCUAAAGGGCAAGUGAUGGAGGCAAGUACUAGUUUAUAUAUUCAGUUAUCUAAUAUUGUUUUUGCCAGUUUCUCCUUUUGAACUGUUUUGUUUCCCAGUGCUGCUGUGAAAUAAUUGCACAAAUGAAGGACUAUAUUAGCAUGUUCUGGGAUGUAAUAAUGUUAUAACGUCUGUUCAGUGUGACUGUAUAUGGAAUUGUGAAUUUUGUUUCUGAUAUAUUGUAUUCUUGUACGAAUAAGAAAUGUAUGUUUUUGAACUUCAUGCUAUAAAGUACUCCAUUUCCUCCCUCAAACAGAAUAUAAAGGUUGUUACAAGUGUGGGGGGAAAAAACAAGCACAAAACUUGAAUGCAAAUAAAUGUGCUAAUUAAUUCUG
Molecule: long non-coding RNA, 655 nt
Organism: Pygoscelis adeliae (Adelie penguin)
Lineage: Eukaryota; Metazoa; Chordata; Aves; Sphenisciformes; Spheniscidae
Exons: 2
Source: RefSeq, a predicted model, not a curated record